Molecule: RNA transcript, 2300 nt
Organism: Zootermopsis nevadensis
Lineage: Eukaryota; Metazoa; Arthropoda; Insecta; Blattodea; Termopsidae
Gene: RpLP0-like
Gene name: ribosomal protein LP0-like
Source: RefSeq, a predicted model, not a curated record
AAUCGAAUUCCCAAGCAUUACCAACAUCAACUAAAAUAAAUGGAGGACCUGAUUGUUCCUAUAGAAUUGCACGUGUUUUGACGAUUGCAACAUAGUAAAGUAUAAGAAAUACUGUCCGUUGAAAAGCCAUGCCUAAGUCGAAGCGUGACAAGAAACUAUCGUUAACAAAAACAAAGAAGAAAGGAUUGGGUUUUAAACAGCAUUUGGUUGAUGACAUUCGAAGAUGUGUUCAGGACUACAAGAGAAUCUUCGUAUUUUCUGUUCAGAACAUGAGGAACUCAAAACUGAAAGACCUCCGUACAGAGUGGAGGCACAGUAGAUUUUUCUUUGGUAAAAAUAAAGUUAUGGCUUUAGGUCUUGGUAAGACAAAGGAGACGGAAGCUCAGGAUAAACUGCAUAAGGUGACAAAACAUCUGAUUGGUCAAUGUGGUUUACUCUUCACAAACAAAGAACCUGAAGAAGUUCUUGAUUGGUUUCAAGACUACAGUGAAAGUGACUUUGCUAGGGCUGGAAAUGUUGCUACAGAUACUGUGACGUUGCCUGCUGGUCCCCUCCCCCAGUUUCCACAUUCUAUAGAGCCACAUCUUCGUCAGCUUGGAAUGCCUACGAGCCUGCAGAGGGGUGUGGUCACAAUGCUUUCAGAGUUUACUGUCUGUAAAGCUGAUCAGGCACUUAAACCAGAACAGGCCAGAAUACUAAAAUUACUUGGGCAUCAAAUGGCAGAAUUCAAAAUCACAAUGAAAUGCAUGUGGUCAAAGGAUGGGAAAUUUAAAAAGUUUGAAAGUAAAAAGAAAAAGAACAAGAAAACAUCAAAAUCUCAGGAAGACAUACUUGAUGUAGAUAUGAAAGAAGUGGAUGACAGUGUAGAUGUUGGAAUUGAAGUUGGUGAUGGAAAUGUGGAUGCUGAUGUUGAAGUUGAAGGUGAGUCUGUAGAUGCUGCCAUUGAAGUUCGAGAUGAGACUGUGGAUGCUGCCAUUGAAGUUCGAGAUGACACUGUGGAUGCUUCUAUUGAAGUUCGAGAUGAGACUGUGGGUGCUGCCAUUGAAGUUCAAGAUGAGAUUGUGGAUGCUGGUGUUGACAUUAAAAGUGACAAGAAGUGACAAUGUUACUUGGGCAGUUGCACCUGGAUUAUAAUUAAUAGGAAAGGACAAAAAGUCAGGAGCAUUUAUCGUGAACAGGUGAUUUAAACACUGAUGCUGUGGGACUGCAAGGACCUGUGAAAUACAAAGCAGGAGUGCCAACUGCUAUGAUGCAACAUUGAGGUUGCAAAGUUCAUCCUUCUUCAUAGAGGGUGCUAACAAAAAUGUUAUGAUGUAAAAUGCAUGCGCACAACACAGAACAUAAUUUAGUUGUUAGUUACAUGAAAACAUGCAAAUAGCUUCUGACAUGCAAGUGCCCUAAAUCCUUCCCUACAUGAAAAAAUGGACAGUUCAGUUAUACUUGUACAUAUAUUGUCUCUCCAUGUUCUCUUAAAUUUGUAUUAUUACUGCUGUACAGGGGGGAAAUAUGUCUCUAUGGAACUGUGACGUCUAAUACAGCCUCCAGAUGACACAUGAAUGGACAUGAAGCAGCAAUGGAAAGAUACUGACGGGAAAAUCUGUCCUAGUCCCACUUUUUCCACCACAUGGACUGCCAUGGGUGUGAAUCUGGGCCUCGGUAAGAAAUCAGUGACUAACCACCUGAGCUAAGGCAGAACUCUUUAAAUUGCAUGAAAGCAUUGUUAUUCAUGCAGUUUUGUCAUCUUCAGGAAAUAAUGUAUGAGUAUUGUGUGCCAGAAGGACAUGAAAUUAAUGGAACAUUCUGAUUGGAUUGGUGGUUUACAAUGAAAAUGCAAAAGUUAUGUAGCCAAUAAAAAUUAUGAAGCUCACUGCAAUAAAAAGAAGAGUUGUGAUCUGCUCGUACAUGACAUCACUAACUGCUGAUUAUUAUUUGGUAACCAAUUUAGAUAGAGUGCUGACAGGGCUCCAGUUUUUUUGCGUAUUCUACCACAUUCCACAGAGACUUACUGGUCAGGCUAUUCCUUGUGGAAGACGCGUUACCCUGGGAUACUGCUGUCGAUCAGUAUGGUCUUUGGUACACAAUGAAGCUAUGUAAUGAAGUCAGUAAAUGUACUUAAACCCGCCUUAUGGACUAACCACAUCUCAUAUGUUUAAUAAUGGUAUGGUUACAAUUUAAAUAUAUAAAAAUUCAUGUAAUGGUGGCAGAUUAGGUGCACAUCGCAAUGAAUAAGUAAUUUUGAGAUGUAUCAAACAUUUACCAGAAAAAUAUAUAUUUUUAAUUAAUAAUGUAUUAACAGAUAA